Cynara cardunculus var. scolymus (artichoke) is the source of this 529-nucleotide long non-coding RNA. RefSeq lists it as uncharacterized. The transcript has 3 exons. The record is from RefSeq and is a predicted model, not a curated record. NCBI's taxonomy places the organism in Eukaryota, Viridiplantae, Streptophyta, Magnoliopsida, Asterales, Asteraceae.
GUGACAGCAACAGCAUACACAAAGCAGCAACAAGUUUAAUUUUUGUGCAGUAACAGGUUUAAACAUUGUGAUAGUGGUUUGCUGUUUCUGCUGUGUUGUGUUGGUGUUUAAAACAGUUGACUGUGUGGUCGAGCUUGUGAUAUGAAACAGUUUGUGAUUUAGAUAGGUAGCAGCUACACAUUGUGCAGCAGCAGCAACAGUUUAGCUUGCUGGUUUGUUCAUAGUUCCUUUACUGUCAUAAGUAACAGCAGUAAGUGCAGGUCUUUAAAGCAGAGAAGAUACAGCAGCAACUACUAGUUGUUGUGGUCUUGACAGCAGCAGAUGGUCCAGCUCCUUUGGCACUUGUAGCUGGAACCUGUAGAGUGCUGUUGAACCAUACACAGAAGUAUUUUGACCACCAUAAUGAGCCCCAGCAGCUGAAUGUCCACCUAACAAGGCUGAAUGUCGUGAAGCGAUGGACAUCUGAGAGGCAAUUUUUUUAAGUAGGUGCGGUGUGAACCUUUGCACCUGAGCCAGACUAGAACCGGAG